GACGAACGCUGGCGGCGUGCUUAACACAUGCAAGUCGAACGAAGAGCGAUGGAAGCUUGCUUCUAUCAAUCUUAGUGGCGAACGGGUGAGUAACGCGUAAUCAACCUGCCCUUCAGAGGGGGACAACAGUUGGAAACGACUGCUAAUACCGCAUACGAUCUAAUCUCGGCAUCGAGGAUAGAUGAAAGGUGGCCUCUACAUGUAAGCUAUCACUGAAGGAGGGGAUUGCGUCUGAUUAGCUAGUUGGAGGGGUAACGGCCCACCAAGGAGAUGAUCAGUAGCCGGUCUGAGAGGAUGAACGGCCACAUUGGGACUGAGACACGGCCCAGACUCCUACGGGAGGCAGCAGUGGGGAAUCUUCCGCAAUGGACGAAAGUCUGACGGAGCAACGCCGCGUGAGUGAUGACGGCCUUCGGGUUGUAAAGCUCUGUUAAUCGGGACGAAAGGCCUUCUUGCGAAUAGUGAGAAGGAUUGACGGUACCGGAAUAGAAAGCCACGGCUAACUACGU
This 509-nucleotide ribosomal RNA is filed under the name uncultured bacterium. RNAcentral's name for it is "partial 16S ribosomal RNA". It matches the Rfam family "Bacterial small subunit ribosomal RNA", at positions 28 to 506 of the family's 1533-position model. The record is from RNAcentral.